Molecule: non-coding RNA, 24 nt
Filed under: Arabidopsis thaliana (thale cress)
Lineage: Eukaryota; Viridiplantae; Streptophyta; Magnoliopsida; Brassicales; Brassicaceae
Source: RNAcentral
CAAUUUUUUGGUCUCUUGAAUCGU